GACGAACGCUGGCGGCGUGCUUAACACAUGCUAGUCGAACGGAAAGGCCCUGCUUUUGUGGGGUGCUCGAGUGGCGAACGGGUGAGUAACACGUGAGUAACCUGCCCUUGACUUUGGGAUAACUUCAGGAAACUGGGGCUAAUACCGGAUAGGAGCUCCUGCUGCAUGGUGGGGGUUGGAAAGUUUCGGCGGUUGGGGAUGGACUCGCGGCUUAUCAGCUUGUUGGUGGGGUAGUGGCUUACCAAGGCUUUGACGGGUAGCCGGCCUGAGAGGGUGACCGGCCACAUUGGGACUGAGAUACGGCCCAGACUCCUACGGGAGGCAGCAGUGGGGAACAUUGCACAAUGGGCGGAAGCCUGAUGCAGCAACGCCGCGUGCGGGAUGACGGCCUUCGGGUUGUAAACCGCUUUCGCCUGUGACGAAGCGUGAGUGACGGUAAUGGGUAAAGAAGCACCGGCUAACUACGUGCCAGCAGCCGCGGUGAUACGUAGGGUGCGAGCGUUGUCCGGAUUUAUUGGGCGUAAAGGGCUCGUAGGUGGUUGAUCGCGUCGGAGGUGUAAUCUUGGGGCUUAACCCUGAGCGUGCUUUCGAUACGGGUUGACUUGAGGAAGGUAGGGGAGAAUGGAAUUCCUGGUGGAGCGGUGGAAUGCGCAGAUAUCAGGAGGAACACCAGUGGCGAAGGCGGUUCUCUGGGCCUUUCCUGACGCUGAGGAGCGAAAGCGUGGGGAGCGAACAGGCUUAGAUACCCUGGUAGUCCACGCUGUAAACGGUGGGUACUAGGUGUGGGGUCCAUUCCACGGGUUCCGUGCCGUAGCUAACGCUUUAAGUACCCCGCCUGGGGAGUACGGCCGCAAGGCUAAAACUCAAAGGAAUUGACGGGGCCCCGCACAAGCGGCGGAGCAUGCGGAUUAAUUCGAUGCAACGCGUAGAACCUUACCUGGGUUUGACGUGGAUCGGGAGUGCUCAGAGAUGGGUGUGCCUCUUUUGGGGUCGGUUCACAGGUGGUGCAUGCCUGUCGUCAGCUCGUGUCGUGAGAUGUUGGGUUAAGUCCCGCAACGAGCGCAACCCUUGUUCACUGUUGCCAGCACGUUAUGGUGGGGACUCAGUGGAGACCGCCGGGGUCAACUCGGAGGAAGGUGGGGAUGACGUCAAGUCAUCAUGCCCCUUAUGUCCAGGGCUUCACGCAUGCUACAAUGGCUGGUACAGAGAGUGGCGAGCCUGUGAGGGUGAGCGAAUCUCGGAAAGCCGGUCUCAGUUCGGAUUGGGGUCUGCAACUCGACCUCAUGAAGUCGGAGUCGCUAGUAAUCGCAGAUCAGCAACGCUGCGGUGAAUAAAUUCCCGGGGCU
This 1346-nucleotide ribosomal RNA is filed under the name uncultured bacterium. RNAcentral describes it as "partial 16S ribosomal RNA". It matches the Rfam family "Bacterial small subunit ribosomal RNA", at positions 28 to 1381 of the family's 1533-position model. The record is from RNAcentral.